AUCCUUUUGUAGCCUGUAAGUGUAAUAACUGGGUUUUCACACUAUUAUGUUAGAUAUGCCUCCUUUAAACAUCCUUUUCAUGUAGGCACAUUACUGUCUUACA
This is a small nucleolar RNA of Psammomys obesus (fat sand rat), 103 nucleotides long. RefSeq annotates it as small nucleolar RNA U13. The transcript has a single exon. The record is from RefSeq and is a predicted model, not a curated record. Lineage: Eukaryota; Metazoa; Chordata; Mammalia; Rodentia; Muridae.